UGGAGAGGUGGCCGAGUGGCUUAAGGCGGCGGUCUUGAAAACCGCAGUACGGGAAACUGUACCGGGGGUUCGAAUCCCUCCCUCUCCGA
RNAcentral lists this transfer RNA (89 nucleotides) under Phycisphaerae bacterium RAS2. RNAcentral's name for it is "tRNA-Ser". It matches the Rfam family "tRNA". From Rfam's summary of the family: Transfer RNA (tRNA) molecules are approximately 80 nucleotides in length. Their secondary structure includes four short double-helical elements and three loops (D, anti-codon, and T loops). Lineage: Bacteria; Pseudomonadati; Planctomycetota; Phycisphaerae. The record is from RNAcentral.